Molecule: ribosomal RNA, 439 nt
Filed under: uncultured bacterium
Lineage: Bacteria
Description: partial 16S ribosomal RNA
Rfam family: Bacterial small subunit ribosomal RNA
Source: RNAcentral
CUACGGGCCGCAGCAGUGGGGAAUAUUGCACAAUGGAGGAAACUCUGAUGCAGCAACGCCGCGUGGAGGAUGACACUUUUCGGAGCGUAAACUCCUUUUAUAUAGGAAGAAGAUGACGGUACUAUAUGAAUAAGCGCCGGCUAACUCCGUGCCAGCAGCCGCGGUAAUACGGAGGGCGCAAGCGUUACUCGGAAUCACUGGGCGUAAAGAGCGUGUAGGCGGAUUAAAAAGUCAGAAGUGAAAUCCUAUAGCUUAACUAUAGAACUGCUUCUGAAACUCUUAAUCUAGAAUAUGGGAGAGGUAGAUGGAAUUUCUGGUGUAGGGGUAAAAUCCGUAGAGAUCAGAAGGAAUACCGAUUGCGAAGGCGAUCUACUAGAACAUUAUUGACGCCGAGACGCGAAAGCGUGGGGAGCAAACAGGAUUAGAUACCCCAGUAGUC